This 497-nucleotide ribosomal RNA is filed under the name uncultured bacterium. RNAcentral describes it as "partial 16S ribosomal RNA". It matches the Rfam family "Bacterial small subunit ribosomal RNA", at positions 28 to 507 of the family's 1533-position model. The record is from RNAcentral.
GAUGAACGCUGGCGGCGUGCCUAAUACAUGCAAGUCGAGCGAACAGACGAGGAGCUUGCUCCUCUGACGUUAGCGGCGGACGGGUGAGUAACACGUGGAUAACCUACCUAUAAGACUGGGAUAACUUCGGGAAACCGGAGCUAAUACCGGAUAAUAUAUUGAACCGCAUGGUUCAAUAGUGAAAGACGGUUUUGCUGUCACUUAUAGAUGGAUCCGCGCCGCAUUAGCUAGUUGGUAAGGUAACGGCUUACCAAGGCAACGAUGCGUAGCCGACCUGAGAGGGUGAUCGGCCACACUGGAACUUAGACACGGUCCAGACUCCUUCGGGAGGCAGCCGUAGGGAAUCUUCCGCCAUUGGCGAAAGCCUUACGGAGCAACGCCGCGUGAGGUAUUGAGGUCUUCCGAUCGUAAAACUCUGUUAUUAGGGAAGAACAAAUGUGUAAGUAACUUUUCACGUCUUGACGGUACCUAAUCAGAAAGCCACCGCUAACUACCUU